CCUACCCCUUCUCACUCCCAGGGUAUGUCACUCACCCCUGCUUAAGGCCGGUGUGGGGUUUGUUGCCUCCAGGGGCAAGGACCAGGCCAGGGCGGGUCUCUGCAGCCGCCGCACACCGGCAAACCGCCCACCUCUGCUUCCUUCAUCUCCACUCGGGUGUCGGGUGUCGUGUCGACCCCCGCGUCUCUCUGGCAGCGGCCCCGCCCCACCGGACCCAGCCCCCUGCCCCUCCUUCCCUGCGGGCCGGUUCAGGGAGGGAGCCCUGCGCGCCGGCCCCUCUCCCUGAAUCCUCGCUCCUGGGGAGGCCCGGGUCGGUCGCUCGGGGCUGGCAGAAGAGGAACCGGGGGGCUGUCUGCGGGCGCCCCCGGGCUCCCACACGGGUUCCCUGAGUUGAAAGAAGGUAUCAGUGAGCUGGGCGAGGAGAUGGCGAGGCAAGAAAAGGCCCAGUUUCCAUAGCAACCGAAAGGCUGCAGCGCCACGAACAGAGAGGACGAGGGGGCUGCCCUGGGAGCAGAUUCGGUCCUGGGAUUUGAGGACAGAAAGGACUUUCAGUUCCCGCUACUUCAGAAGUUCUCAACAGGGUGGGCAGGGGACCGCGCUCCCUGAAGGCGACGGCUGCUGGCUCCCACGUCCUUUGCUGACCGCCUUGAGCCCCACGCGCACCUGUGCAGAUCGACCCUCCCCUGAAUUCUUCGAACUUGCCCAUCGGUCUCUGCGCUCCAUUCCGCACUCCACGUUCGGAAGCUGGUUCAACCGCGUUCAACCCCGCGGGGGGCCACCAGGUGGAGUCCGGCUUUUCACAAUCUUUGUGAAAGGUUGUGGACUCUCCCUUGGGUGUGCCUUGGAGAGGGCUUCUUGGAAGUGACAUUGCUGGGUCUCGAGAGCACACGGUAACAUUUCUGGCUGCGUCUGUGGAUGGUCGGUGACGCUCUGUCUGGAGGAACCGCGCUGAUCACUCGGCCAUCCCCUGUGGCUGGACGCGUCUGCUGUUCCCAAUACUUCCCGUGAUACAUAACACCGGGGGGGACGUCUUCAAGCACAAAGUGGCUUUUGUGUCUGGAACUGCUCUCUGGCUGGCCCGGCUUUACCAGGGUAAAGGGACCCUGAGGCCGGUGCUGGAUGGUUCGUUUAGAACAGCCAUACCCGCCAAAGUUUACACUGGAGUGACAAAUCAGACGGGAAUAACUGCUUUAUUUUGUGGUCUGCGUGUCCACUGACAGCAGGAGGACAGCGCCCCAUGAGACGCCCAGCAAGUGGGUCCUACAGAAAUAUCGGACGUUAAAAAAAGCAACAAAAAUCGAACCUCAACUUCCCUCCCCUGGGGCUCCAGCUGCCUAUUCCCGCUGCAGACGGAAGCAGAUACUUCUGGUCGUGGAGGGGGCCCCGCGGGCCAGACCACGCAGCCCUCCCCUACGUGGCGCCUGGCGCUGCCAUCCAUGUCCUCCCCCCAUCAGACCUCAGGCCCCCCACUUGCUCCUGCCUGUGCUCACCAUUGCCCUGGGCCGUAUGGUCAGAACCUAUACUCGCGUGAACGGAUUUUAAGGUCAGUCUCUGAAACUGGACUGCUGACACAGGUUGCGAGAAAAUCAUGUGAUCCCCUGCGUGCCGCCCCCUCCCCCACUGCACCCCGACUUUGGGAGCCUUCCAUUUGGACUCUGUGCAUCCGAAGCUAAGGCCAGCUGUGAACCUCACGCACCUGCUCAUCCGCUGGCGGAACCUGUCUCUCUUCAAUACUCAGGUUUUAACCCACUGGCUGUGCAGGAGCUGUACGCGUGAGCCCUGCCCACAGGCGGACUUUUCUUCUCUCUUGGCCCUCGGGCUGCCCCAGACCCGCCCCUCCUGCCUGAACCACCACCAGCUUCCCUGCGGCCCGCCAGCAGCUCAUAGGUGGGAAUCAAGGAGCUGCUGUCCCUCGGCUCGCCCACCCGGUCUUCUCGGCCGCGCUGCACACCCACAGUCAGGGUCCGCCGCUCACGGAGCACCUGCUCUCCCCGCACGGGACGGCAAUGUCUGGGGUCAUCCUAACAAUGGCCCUGUGGGCCAGCUAGGACUAGCCCCUUACAGAUGGGACAACGGAGGCUCCAAGGGCAUAUCCCUGCCUUGCAAGUGGCAGGCACAGGAUGCCUCACCGUGCCUCAGCCUGGAGCGCCACUCAGGCGUGUGCUCAGAGCAUGCACGGGCCGGGGUGGGGGACACACUGGGACACGUGUGCGUGAACAUGGUGGCUGAGGGGUCUGCAUCCAGCCGCCGAGCUGAGAUCUGGGGAAGUCUGGCUAGGAGCCCCAGAGGCGCCCACCUGGCCCAUGUUUGGCCCCUCCAAGUCAGGUCUCGGAGGAAAAGGGGGUGGGGAGCCAGCCUGCCCCUCGGGGCUGCUGUGAGCCAGAGGCUCCCUCCCGGUCCUGGGUGUGCCCUCCACAUGAGCAGCACAGGGCGGCCACAGCAAGCACCACAGACCAGACCGCGGGGCUGGGCACAAAGAAGUCUGUUUUCUCCCAUUCUGGAGGUGGGAAGACUGAGAUCAAGGGGUCAGCAGAGCCACACUCCCUCAGGCCUCUAGAGGAGGAUCCUUCCUGCGCCCCUGGGUGCUGAUGCUGGCUACCAACCCAGGGCCUUCCUCCGCAGACUUGUCCUUCCAGCCUGUGCCUCUGUCCCCAUGGGGCCUCUCUGCUGGGUGAGUCUGUCUCUGUGUCUCUUCUCCUAAGGACAUUUGACAUUGGAUUUAAAGCUCCCCGACUCCAUCCAGCAGGACCUCAGCUUCACCGGAGCACGUCUCCAAAGACCCACACCCACAGUAGCGUCUGGGACUCGAGCAUGUCCUGAACCCACCUGCCCCCAGCACCGCAGGCCUCUUGGGUGUUGACGGCGACGUGCCAUCACAGAGUCAGACUGCUGGUCACCUCGGUCCCCACCGCAGCCUCCUGCCACCUGCUGGCUCCUGUCCGCUCUCUCUGCCUCCA
Long non-coding RNA from Enhydra lutris kenyoni (northern sea otter), 2957 nucleotides. RefSeq lists it as uncharacterized. The transcript is spliced from 3 exons. NCBI's taxonomy places the organism in Eukaryota, Metazoa, Chordata, Mammalia, Carnivora, Mustelidae. The record is from RefSeq and is a predicted model, not a curated record.